GCUCCAGGCUUCGGUAUCACUCUUUACCAGUUGCUGGCAGAAGCACCAAGAGCUUCUGCGUGCUGCCUAUGGGCAGGGUCAGUCAGGGUGGUCUGUGGGUUGCUGAAGCUGCAGGCCUUGGUCUGGGGCUGUUGCCUUUGGGCAGUGUCAGAACAGAGAGCUUGAGUCCCUUCCAAGGCUGAGGCCUGAGCUGUCUGUGCCACCAUCUGAGCCACCUCCGGAAGAGGUUGGCCCCCUGAGCCCAGGCGCCAUGGCAGGAGGGUGAGGGGACAGGCCAGCGAGCAGCUAGGGCCCUCAGGUGGGUACUGAGCGCCUGUGUGCACAUGGUGUGAAGUGGCCUUGAUGGGCCUCACCAAUGCUACUUGCUGUGCUGGAACUGCGUGGAGUCCCGAGGGAGCCACAUGGAGUCCCGAGGGUGGCAGAGGGAGACCCGACCCCCGGUGGGACCAGGAUGUCCUCACCAAGGAGGAGCAAGGCGCUGGCUUUUGACAGUGAGCACAGGGAGAGGCCUGCAGGAGCUGGGGGAGGUGGGGAGCCAGGCUAUUGGUACGGAUACCUGUAAGAGAGGAGGCUGGGAAAUGGGGGACCACUGUCCUGCCUUCCUGGGGAGGGGACUCGCGGGACACUGUGUGUGAAACCAGGGAAGUUCAGGUGAAUUGGGGUACGUUUGUCACGCUUCUGAAAAGCACCUGAUUUCAGACAGAAACAGACUGGUGAGGUGCUGAGAACCACCACGUGGCAUGCAAGUGUGAGGGGAGGAAGAGAAAGUGUCCAAGUCCUUUGUCCAGCCAGUGGCAGACCUGGCUUUUCAAGGCAGGUCUGUUUGGUUUCGAAGCUGGUUAUUUGCACUGCAGGUGCUUGUCCAAGGAUGUGGAUUUAGGAGGCUGUGGGAGGGUAUUGUGGUCCUAAAGCUGUUCUGCUGUGCGACCCUUGACUUCCCUGUCUGUGGCAGCAGGCGGUUCCUGCCUUAUGCUCUCCUGUUUGUGCCAGGGUCUGGCCAAAGCAGGCUGCAGUGAGCCGUGUGGGCAUGACCAAGCCCGGGCCUGGCCCCUCUGCAGCCAACCAGCCUGCAGGACUGGCCACAGAGCUGUCACUCCCCAGGCCAUUGUGUUGGAGAGCCCAGCUGGGAGGCUGUCCCUUCCCUAAGCAGGUAACAUGCAUGCCCUCUGCCCAGGCCCAGCUCACCCCGACCAGCGUGGAAGUGUCCUAUAAGACGCCAUGGGGACAGGCAGGAAGUGCUCAUGGGCUGACUCGACUCGAAGGUUCCUGACACAGACCCAUAAGCAAGCAGGUGGGGAGGACCAGGCUGUGGGAGGAAGUCAGCCAGGAGGUGCAGCCAGGGCUCGAGGGCCUGGCAGCCAGGGUGGCAGGCAGCACACUUGUCUGGUCAGAGGGCACAGGCGUCUGGACAGGUGGCCCAGACCUGAUGACAGGAGUCUGGCAGGAGCGCCAGAUCCUGUGUGCCUGAGUCUGCAGGAAGGCUGCAGAUGGUGGUCAGAAGGCUGCUGCCCUGGGGGCAGGAAGCCAGGCACAGGGACAUCCCCCCCACGCUGGGACGUGGGAGGGGUGAGGGUGGCACAUACACCUAGUGUUAGGCAGCCCAGCGCUCAGCGUGACCUGGCUGUCAGGCUGCCUGCUGCAAAGGGCACCCCAAGGUCAGGACAUCCAUGUGCUCCACUACAUAGCUGCAAGGAUGGAGGCCUGGGGUGACCCCUGCCUGGAUGCCGUGCCUGGAGAAACUGCCAGGGAGCCCAGCAUCAGACUCGGGAGGAAGAGAAAUCCUAGUCCACCUUGGCCUCGUCAGGGCUGUGGGUCCAGGUCAAAGGAGAUGUCUUGGUCAUUAAAAUGUGGAAGCAGGACAGUUGCUGGAAAAAACAUGCAGGGUAGGGCUUCCUGCUUCUCUGCCUUAGCAAGGUCAAGUUUUGGGAAGCACGGAGGGCCACAUGGGAGGGGCUCCCAUAGACUCGCUGUCCAGCGGUGGGGAGGAAGACGACUGGUACUGGCCAGGAACAAGAGCUCUGUCCUGGGCAUGAGCCGGCUUGGGGCUCUCUGAGCCUCUUAGGAGGCAUCUGGGAGAAGGGGAGGGUAGAGUCAUUUCUUAAUAGAGACAAAAUUUCUUAUUAGGGUGGUAAAAACAAUUUGGAAAUAGCGGUGAUAAUUGUAUAUUUUGAAUAUAGUUAAUGCCAUCAAAUUGUACACUUAAAAAUAGUUAUGUAUAUUGUGAUAUGUAUAUAAAGGCAAAUGAAGGUCACAGAAAACAAGAUUCUAGACAAAGGGAGAUAAAGCACGGACAACCAAGUGCCGCGUGGUAACUGGGAUUGCAGUCUGCAGUAGAAACAGGACCAUUUAACGUCCGCUGAGGAGAAGCUGGUGAAAUCUUCAUACUGUCUUCAGGCCACACUUUCUUCCAGGAAUGUCUCAGUGUCCUUAGACACUGGCCCGGGAUUUCUCAACUUCUGUAACCCCACACGGGGAAAGGUGUGGUAAUGCUCCCUCCAGAGUUCUCUAAGGCUUAAAUCCGAGACCAUCUAGAAGCGCUUCAGGAGCAGUUCCUUGGUGUAUAGCUUCUUACAGUGAGCUGCACCCGUGGUCCAUAGGCUGCAGUGGAGGAUUCUCCUAGGCGGGAGGAACUCGACGGAGAGCCGUGGGAAUUCUCCAGCCAGUUCUUCCUCCGAAGCCCAAGGGUGAGCGGGAGCACUGUCCCUGAUGAGGAGAGCCUUCAGUGGUAAACUUUGUUCUUCCGGUAUUUCUUAAUAGGACUGAAAGCCUCCCUGAUCUCCUCAAGAUGAAGUAUUCUUGUUACCCGGGCUUUUGCAUUAGACAAUUAGCUCAUUCUUCAUGACAUUUUGUUUUGUUUUCUGAACACUCCGGGGGUCUCAGAGAGAUAAUCAAGGGAGACUUUAUCUUGAGGUCACCACUGGAAUUGGUACCUAGUAAUAGUCAGCCUAUACUUCAUAGACUUGUGUCCUGACACUUUCUUCUCUUCCUGAGUACCUAAUAUAUGUUCCUAACAAGAGACAUUAUGUUCUCCUGGUCAUUUUUUCCCAGGAAAGGCCAGUUGCAUCACAGUUGAGAACUUGAUAGCAAAAGACACUUCUCUGGUGUCAUCAUUUCACAGUGUGCAUGAAAUUGUCAGCAGCCCUUUAUCAGCACUGGCUGCUUGAUCUUGCCUUUAUACACUAGGAAACCCAGUUCUCACCUUAAAAUUGGGAAGCCGCCUCUUACUGGCAUAAUGUUUCACCAUCAUCACUCAUUGAUGGAUUAGCUUUACCAGAUCUGCAUUCAGAGCCCCAGGUUUCUCACACGUUAUAGACUGGGGCAGGCUAUAACCUGCCAUCUGCCUUUCACUUACCCAUGCUAACGAUGGCUUUUCUACCUCAUCUGACACUGCUGAUUCUGACUUAUCAUUGUGAGCAACACCGUUAGCAACACUAGCUUCCUCAUAUAAAUGUUUUCUCUGUAAGACUGUCAAGUUGUCAUACAUAUUAGCGAGACUGGUCAUAUGGAUGCCUUUCUCAUAUUUCUCCACAAUUUUCUUCCUUUUCAUUGCAGUUGCUUUCGUUACCUUCCUUUUCUUUCUUGGCUAUUUUUCUAGCUUUUAGGGAGUCAUUGUGAUAGUAGUAAUUUUAGUGAGUGUAUAAAGCACUGACCAAAACCAUGUCCGGAAACACAUGCAUCUCAACUCAGACUAAUCUUUACAAUCACUUACAUACACUUUUAUGGCAUCUUGUCUUUGUUUAUAACCACACAACCAGCUAUUUGGGCCUCAACUCAAGACUUUUUGUCAUUCACUAAACCUAAAAGUCCCAUUAUAACCAAGUCAUCUAUGUAAGACCAGCCAUAACUCAAGGGUCCACUGUAACCCAGACAGAAUUUGGUACCAGAGGUGGAGUUUUGCUGUGACUAUAUCUGACCGUGUCAUGUAGGAGUCUUAGGAACUAACUUGCGGGAGGAGAAAGAGUUAGGAAAUGUGGGGCUGGGGAUUUAGCUCAGUGGCAUAAGCGCCUGCCUUACAAGCAGGCAGUCAUGAGUUCGAUCCCUGGUACCGAUAAAAACAAAAAAGGACAAAAAAAAAAAAAAAAAAAAAAAAGAGUUAGGAAAUGUUUGGAGACGCCAACUGAAAAAGUAGAGCUGAAGUGUCUGAAUCCGUACUUGAUGAGAGAUUCUAGUCUGAGCUCAGAAGACCUGAAGGCUGAUAGAAAUCCAGCCAGUAAAGACCAGGUUCACAAGUUUUCUGCUGGGAAGGACUGCACUGCCUGUGAACUCUAGAGAAUGUGUGCUACACCUUGACAGAAAGCUUCUCUGCAUUCUGCUUGUGUCCAGAGACUUUGCCUGAGACUACUAUUAAGGGCAGCUAAUAAUCUGGAAGAAGAAAUUUUAAGGCAUUCCAAUGUUGAGACAGUGGCAUGGCUACUACUGGGGGCUUUUAGCUAGAUCUACUUCAGAAUUAAGGGCAAACAGCUCAGCAGAAUGAAUUAAAACGUGAGUCUGGCCAGAAAGGAAGCCCCCAUAAAACUGUGGACUGCAUGAUAAAGCAGAGUAGAUCUAUAGAUUGCUGAGAAGGAAGAGGACAAUAAAAAAGACAAUAAAAAAGAUGGCCUGGGGACAUCACAAGAAAAAUGCAGGAUUUCAACCUUUGCAGCCUCAAAAUUACAAAAGACUUUGAUAAGAAAAGUGCCCCAGAGCACUACGUUCUAGAAUAGUGGCAGCAUAGAGAAGCUGUUCCUUGGGAUCUGGUUCAUAGGCAUUUGAUCCCUGUUUCCUGGAGAGAAGGAAGCCUGGCUAAUGCUUCAGCUGGUGGCAGACCUUGGCAUCACCCCUGUUGUGCUGGUUUUAGUGGCAUGCAGAGUGCAAAAGUGAUGGGGUCGGGAAGGAUUCUACCUAGAUUCCAGAAGAAGACCUGGAAGGCCAGGCAGUGUGGCUCCGAGAUGGCAGUGUGUAAAGUUAUAAGCUGAAGAUGUAGGGGAGUCCCCAGAAGUUUGGAGAAGCCAGGAACAAGGCUUACUGAGCAAAACUGCAAGGAGAGAGCAGAGCCAGCCCAAAAGAGAAGACUGGAAGCUACAACACCUGAAGUAUCGUAGGAGAAGAGCCUCCCAAGCCCUUCAAGUUCAUGUCUUGCCUCAGGUUGCCUUGGACGCUGGACAUGGAUCUCUGGAAUUUAACGUUUGCCCCGCUGGAUUUUAGGCUUAGUUCAGUCCCAUUCCUUUGUGUUCCCCUAUUUGUAACUGUUGGAAUGGUAAUGUUUAUGUGAUGUCAUUAUAUGUUUCACUUUCUUCUCUUUUGUACAGGAGCUUGCAGCUAAGAGUUUGCUGCUAAUCUCAGAGAAUUUGGAUUUGGACUUUUUAGCAAUGCUGAAAUUGUUAGGAAUUUGGCAACUCUUGGAGAUAGAAAGAAAUGCCUUUUGCCUAAAGGAAUGUAUCUGAGUGUUUGGGGACCAGGGGCAGAAUGUUAUGGCUUGUGUCUAGAUGUCCCCCUAAACCUUGGGUGGAGCUUUUCUAGGAGUGAUUUGAUCUAGAAUGUGUAAUACAGGGAUGAAGGGUGUUUGAUUACUAUAUCAGUCCACUUACUGGUUUGGCACUGACCUAAUCAAGCAGCCUAGAGAAAAUAUCAAAGGGGCAGAAAGAAGCCACUAAUGUUCCUGGCUUGCUUUGCCACCUUCUGCCCGCAUGAACUAUUUCUCCUUUGCCAUGCUUGUGUGCCACGACACCUGCCUUGUGUCAGCUGAUUAUGGACUGAAAACCCCACAAACUGUGAGCCAAAAUAAACCUGUCCCCCUUAA
This is a long non-coding RNA of Cavia porcellus (domestic guinea pig), 5779 nucleotides long. RefSeq lists it as uncharacterized. The record is from RefSeq and is a predicted model, not a curated record. NCBI's taxonomy places the organism in Eukaryota, Metazoa, Chordata, Mammalia, Rodentia, Caviidae. The transcript is spliced from 2 exons.